UCUUUCUUUGCUGGCGACCGGCGCACGGGUGAGUAACACGUAUCCAACCUGCCCUUUACUCGGGGAUAGCCUUUCGGAAGAAAGAUUAAUACCCGAUAGUAUAAUGAUUCCGCAUGGUUUCAUUAUUAAAGGAUUCCGGUAAAGGAUGGGGAUGCGUUCCAUUAGGUUGUUGGUGAGGUAACGGCUCACCAAGCCUUCGAUGGAUAGGGGUUCUGAGAGGAAGGUCCCCCACAUUGGAACUGAGACACGGUCCAA
RNAcentral lists this ribosomal RNA (255 nucleotides) under uncultured bacterium. RNAcentral's name for it is "partial 16S ribosomal RNA". It matches the Rfam family "Bacterial small subunit ribosomal RNA", at positions 78 to 334 of the family's 1533-position model. The record is from RNAcentral.